AGUGGGGGAUAGCUCGGCGAAAGCCGGAUUAAUACCGCAUAUGCCCUGAGGGGGAAAGCGGGGGAUCGUAAGACCUCGCGCUUUCGGAGUGGCCGAUAUCGGAUUAGCUAGUUGGUGGGGUAAAGGCUUACCAAGGCGACGAUCCGUAGCUGGUUUGAGAGAACGACCAGCCACACUGGAACUGAGACACGGUCCAGACUCCUACGGGAGGCAGCAGUGGGGAAUUUUGGACAAUGGGGGCAACCCUGAUCCAGCCAUGCCGCGUGAGUGAAGAAGGCCUUCGGGUUGUAAAGCUCUUUCGUGAGGAAAGAAACGGUCACGGCGAAUACCCGUGACUAAUGACGGUACCUCAAGAAGAAGCACCGGCUAACUACGUGCCAGCAGCCGCGGUAAUACGUAGGGUGCGAGCGUUAAUCGGAAUUACUGGGCGUAAAGCGUGCGCAGGCGGUUUUGUAAGACAGACGUGAAAUCCCCGGGCUUAACCUGGGAACUGCGUUUGUGACUGCAAGACUAGAGUGCGGCAGAGGGGGGUAGAAUUCCA
RNAcentral lists this ribosomal RNA (541 nucleotides) under uncultured Gallionellaceae bacterium. Its description in RNAcentral is "bacterial SSU rRNA". It matches the Rfam family "Bacterial small subunit ribosomal RNA", at positions 135 to 671 of the family's 1533-position model. The record is from RNAcentral. Lineage: Bacteria; Pseudomonadati; Pseudomonadota; Betaproteobacteria; Nitrosomonadales; Gallionellaceae.